Non-coding RNA from Rattus norvegicus (Norway rat), 1411 nucleotides. NCBI's taxonomy places the organism in Eukaryota, Metazoa, Chordata, Mammalia, Rodentia, Muridae. The record is from the annotation of a RefSeq genome assembly.
AAUUUGUGGCUUACCCCACAUACCAGGAAGGAAGUGCCCAUGUUGAAACACUGAGUCCCAGUCUUAGACAAAAUGGAUUGCGUGUGGAACUUGCUAUUCCUGAUGGCAGCUGCCCAGAGUGCCCAAGCACAGAUUCAGUUGGUACAGUCUGGACCUGAGGUGAAGAAGCCUGGAGAGUCAGUGAAGAUCUCCUGCAAGGCUUCUGGGUAUACCUUUACACAGGCUGGAAUGCAGUGGCUGAAACAGGCUCAAGGAAAGAGCUUGAAGUGGAUGGGCUGGAUCAACACCAACACUGGGAAGACAACAUAUGCUGCUGACUUCACAGGGAGGUUUGUCUUCUCUUUGGAAACCUCGGCCAGCACUGCAUAUUUGCAGAUCACCAACCUCAAAAAUGAGGACAUGGCUACAUAUUUCUGUGCAAGACACAGUGUGAAAAACACAUCCUGAGGGUGUCAGAAAACCUAAGGGAGAAGUGGUUCAGCUGUGCCUAGACGUAAACAGAGGAAACAUUUUCCCCUUGAUCUCUGAGAAGAAUUAUGAGGCUACUGUAAAACAGAUAGAAAAUAUAGAAGUGGACAACCACAAAAUAUACUCAGUGGGACUGUAACAGACUAAUAAAAGAAUGGGUAAAGAAAAUGUGGUUCAUUUGCACAAUGGAAGAGUACUCAGCUAUGAAAAACAAGUAAGGCAGAAAUUUUGAUGAAAAAUGGUUGGAACUAGACAACAUUUUCCUGAGCGAAGCAAACAAGACCACAAUGGACAAUCAUGGUGUGUACUCACAUACAAAUGUAUAUUAGGUAUAAAUUCAGAUUAUCAUGCUGUCAUCCACAUACCCAAAGAAGUCAAAAACAAGGAGGGCCCAAUGGAGGCUUGUGGAAUGUUUCUCAGAAUGGGAACUAAAAUAGGUAACAGAAUUUUACAGAGGGAGAGACCUGAGUGGAGAGAGGCCUGGAAGAGGUAUUGGGCAUCAGAUGUAUAGAGAUUAGGGAAAGAGACCAACAUGGAAUGGAGAGAAGCAAGAGGUGAACAGAUAACUGAGAGUGAGUCUAGCUGAAACACUUACCAAAAGGAAAUAUGAAUCUGUGGAGAGCUUUUGUUGUCAAUCAUAGAAAUUUUGGCAAGUACAGGUCACUGGGCUCAAGGAAAUAGGCUCUUCACAUUUAGGAAAUAGAAUCUUCACAUUUGGGCUACUGCAAGGAUCAAGGCUCAAGGUAAACACAGCCAAAGAAUGUGUUAAUUAUCUUUUUGUCUGAUAAUCUUGUUAAGCCCCAGGGCCUCUGAAGAUCUUAUUACUUUGAUUGCUACCUGUGGGAUCUCAUUGUUCUUUACCUUGCUUGAUCACCUUGUCUUUGAUCUGAGAACAACCUUAUUCUUUGAGUGUACUAGAUUGAUAUAAAAGCAGAUUGGAAAA